Molecule: small nucleolar RNA, 87 nt
Filed under: Plasmodium adleri (nom. inval.)
Lineage: Eukaryota; Apicomplexa; Aconoidasida; Haemosporida; Plasmodiidae
Description: Plasmodium sp. gorilla clade G2 small nucleolar RNA snoR23
Rfam family: small nucleolar RNA snoR23
Source: RNAcentral
UUGUAUAUGAUGAAUAAAAAAAAAUUAUUUAACUUUCGUUCUUCUGCAUCUUAUGAGGUGAAGAUAAAUUUUUAUAUCUGAUACAAA